CCCUAUUAUAUUUAUUAAUAAAUAAUUAUGAGGUAGUAAAUGUUAGAUUCAGGAAACUUAAAGAAUUUGGCGGUGUUUAUUCUUAUUAGAGGAAUAUGUUUUUUAAAUGAUAAUCCACAAAAAUCUUACUUAAUUUAAAUAAUUUUGUAUAUCUCCGUCUAAAAAGGUUUUUUAGAAAUAUAUUUUGAAUAAUUUAAAAAUUAUAAGUCAGGUCAAGGUGCAGAUUAUAAUUAAGAUAAAAUGUAUUACAUUAAAAUUAUUUAUGGAAUUAUUAUGAAAUAUAAUAGAUAAAAUGGAUUUAAUAGUAAAUUUGUUUAUAUAAUAAUAAAUUGAAUAAAGUAAAUAAACAUGCACACAUCGCCC
Molecule: ribosomal RNA, 363 nt
Filed under: Valenzuela flavidus
Lineage: Eukaryota; Metazoa; Arthropoda; Insecta; Psocodea; Caeciliusidae
Description: partial 12S ribosomal RNA
Source: RNAcentral